RNAcentral lists this ribosomal RNA (396 nucleotides) under Triticum aestivum (bread wheat). Its description in RNAcentral is "partial small subunit ribosomal RNA". Lineage: Eukaryota; Viridiplantae; Streptophyta; Magnoliopsida; Poales; Poaceae. The record is from RNAcentral.
AUGCCGCCCUACAAAUCCUCAGGCCGCCCAACGAAUCCCCAGGCUCCGUCACCUUUGCUCGCCUCCAUCCUCACCCCCGAACAUCUGAACAGCCUUUUUGGGUACAUAUUUUGCUAUAAAGGAGUUCAGCUAUGCCAUGGUGUAUACGUGGUUGUUCAUGUGCAGCAGUGUGCAGGUCUGGAGAGGGAGUAUUCAUCGGUGGAAGACCCAUCAGUACUUGCCAGAAUAUAUAUGUACAUACCUGACUGCAACGCAUGCUUGCAUCCCGUUCCAUCUGCAGAAAAAUUGAGGGAGUAUUCAUCGGUGGAAGACCCCUCAGUACUUGCCAGAAUAUAUAUAUGUACGUACCUGACUGCAAUGCAUGCUUGCAUCCCGUUCCAUCUGCAGAAAAAUUAA